GAGUUUGAUCCUGGCUCAGAUUGAACGCUGGCGGCAUGCUUUACACAUGCAAGUCGAACGGCAGCGGGGGCUUCGGUCCGCCGGCGAGUGGCGAACGGGUGAGUAAUGCAUCGGAACGUACCCAGUCGUGGGGGAUAACGCAGCGAAAGCUGUGCUAAUACCGCAUACGUCCUGAGGGAGAAAGCGGGGGACCUUCGGGCCUCGCGCGAUUGGAGCGGCCGAUGUCGGAUUAGCUAGUUGGUGGGGUAAAGGCUCACCAAGGCGACGAUCCGUAGCUGGUCUGAGAGGAUGAUCAGCCACACUGGGACUGAGACACGGCCCAGACUCCUACGGGAGGCAGCAGUGGGGAAUUUUGGACAAUGGGGGCAACCCUGAUCCAGCCAUGCCGCGUGAGUGAAGAAGGCCUUCGGGUUGUAAAGCUCUUUCAGUCGGGAAGAAACGGAGCGCUCUAACAUAGCGCUCUACUGACGGUACCGACAGAAGAAGCACCGGCUAACUACGUGCCAGCAGC
This 511-nucleotide ribosomal RNA is filed under the name uncultured Pseudomonadota bacterium. RNAcentral's name for it is "bacterial SSU rRNA". It matches the Rfam family "Bacterial small subunit ribosomal RNA", at positions 9 to 515 of the family's 1533-position model. The record is from RNAcentral. Lineage: Bacteria; Pseudomonadati; Pseudomonadota.